UGAAAUACAAAAAAGUAAAGCCAGAACUGAAGUACAUGCACCAAAGGUAUAGUUUACUGAAGGUCAAGUGAAAUACAGUAAACCAAAGCCAGAACUGAGGUUGGCACACCAAAGUUAUAAUUUACUGAAGGUCAAGUGAAAUGCAGUAAAGCAAAGCCAGAACUGAGAUUCGCGUGCCAAAGGAAUAGUUUACUGAAGGUCAAGUGAAAUACAGUAAAGCAAAGUCAAAACUGAGGUUCGUGCGCCAAAGGUAUAGUUUACUGAAAGUCAAGUGAAAAACAGUAAAGCAAAACCAGAACUGAGAUUUCUGUGCCAAUGGUACAGUUUACUGAAGGUCAAGUGAAAUACAGUAAAGCAAAGCCAGAACUGAGGUUCACGCGCCAAAGAAAUAGUUUACUGAAGGUCAAGUGAAAUGCAGUAAAGCAAAGCCAGAACUAAGGUUCGUGCACCAAAGGUAUAAUUUACUGAAGGUCAAGUGAAAUACAUUAAAGCAAAGCCAGAACAGAGGUUUGCGCACCAAAGAUAUAGUUUACUGAAGGUCAGGUGAACUGCAAUAAAGCAAAGCCAGAACUGAGGUUCACACGCCAAAGGUAUAGUUUACUGAAGGUCAAGUGAAAUACAAUAAACGAAAGCCAGAACUGAGGUUCGCUCGCCAAAGGUAUAGCUUACUGAACGUCAAGUGAAAUACAGUAAAGCAAAGCCACAACUGAGGUUCACGCGCCAAAGAUAUAGUUUACUGAAGGUCAAGUGAAAUACAGUAAAGGAAAGCCAGAACUGAGGUUUUCUCACCAAAGGUAUAGUUUACUGAAAGUCAAGUGAAAUACAGUAAAGCAAAGCCAGAACUGAGGUUCGCGUGCCAAAGGUAUAGUUUACUGAAAGUCAAGUGAAAUAUAGUAAAGCAAAACCAGAACUGAAGUUCGCACGCCAAAAGUAUAGUUUACUGAAGGUCAAGUGAAAUACAGUAAAGCAAAGCCAGAACCGGGGUUUGCACACCAAUGGUAUAGUUUACUGAAGGUCAAGUAAAAUACAGUAAAGCAAAGCCAGAACUGAGGUUCGUGCGCCAAAGGUAUAGUUUAACAGUAAAGCAAAGUCAGAACUGAGGUUCGUGUGCCAAAGGUAUAGUUUAGUGAAGGUCAAGUGAAAUAUAGUAAAGCAAAGCCAGAACUGAGGUUCACGUGCCAAAGGUAUAGCUUACUGAAGGUCAAG
Pseudonaja textilis is the source of this 1206-nucleotide non-coding RNA. The record is from RefSeq and is a predicted model, not a curated record. NCBI's taxonomy places the organism in Eukaryota, Metazoa, Chordata, Lepidosauria, Squamata, Elapidae.